This 468-nucleotide ribosomal RNA is filed under the name uncultured bacterium. RNAcentral describes it as "partial 16S ribosomal RNA". It matches the Rfam family "Bacterial small subunit ribosomal RNA", at positions 28 to 507 of the family's 1533-position model. The record is from RNAcentral.
GACGAACGCUGGCGGCGUGCUUAACACAUGCAAGUCGAACGGAAAGGCCCUGCUUUUGUGGGGUGCUCGAGUGGCGAACGGGUGAGUAACACGUGAGUAACCUGCCCUUGACUUUGGGAUAACUUCAGGAAACUGGGGCUAAUACCGGAUAGGAGCUCCUGCUGCAUGGUGGGGGUUGGAAAGUUUCGGCGGUUGGGGAUGGACUCGCGGCUUAUCAGCUUGUUGGUGGGGUAGUGGCUUACCAAGGCUUUGACGGGUAGCCGGCCUGAGAGGGUGACCGGCGACAUGGGGACUGAGAGACGGACCAGACUGCUACGGGAGGCAGCAGUGGGGAAUAUUGCACAAUGGGCGGAAGCCUGAUGCAGAAACGCCGCGUGCGGGAUGACGGCCUUCGGGUUGUAAACCGCUUUCGCCUGUGACGAAGCGUGAGUGACGGUAAUGGGUAAAGAAGCACCGGCUAACUACGUG